AGUGUUUUGAGCUCAGGAAAUUCCAAAAGUCAGUGGAGCAGAUUAGAAGGAAAGUUCUAGAAAUGAAAUGACAUUGGAGUUCCUAAAAGAAAAGAGAAAGAUCAAAUUAUAGGGCUUGCACUGAGUUUCAAAGAGGAUUGGCAAGAUGGGUUGUAGAAUUAAAUGACAGGCAGAGUGUGUAUGUGGAGAAGGGUUGGUGUAAAUGUAUGUGUGUUGGUGUGUGUGUACACAUGCAUGAGAGAGAGAGGAGGGAAGCAACAGAGGGCUAUUGAUGCAAACCUAUAGCCUAAUUAAUUAUCCACGACAGAAAAAGAAAUUCCUCCUACCCUUGCAAGUUGUCUUGUCUUCCUCUGAAUACAAAGUGUAUACCAACAGAAUCUACCAGCCAACCAGAACAGAAAUUACCCUUGUUUGGAGAACUUCAAAAAAUUAUCAGAUGAGAACUCACAGAAGACACAGGAAUACGACAUAACAACAGAUACAGAGCCUGGAGUAAUGACAGUACAAGUCAAGGAACACCAAGGAUCACCAGCUGCCACCCAACCCAGGAAGAGGAUUUUGCUCCUCAAGUCAUUGUACUUUGGUACCUACGAAUUUCAACCUUGUCCUUCAUACCCCGUGGGUGUGAAGAUUCCUGGCAGGACUCUAUUUCCACGCUGCAACUAGUAUCUUUCAGAGCCACCCGGUGAAUGGAACUGAAAUGCUACAGGAGUUUGCUUUGGGAUGCUGCAGUGCUGCUAAUGGCUGAGGGCAUCACUGAGAUGUUCUGUAACUCACUGCAGGCGAGAUGCCGCUUCAGUAUCCCAUACCUUUGGCUGCUCUUCGUCUACUAUACCUCCUCACACUUCUCCCAGUCACCUUUCCAGCAGCUGUGAUUCCAGCUGAUUUUGGCCACCCACAUUGAUCUGGACAGGAUGCCUCUCAGAUGGAGUCUCCUCAGCCGCCCAGGUUGGAGUGCAGUGGCGUGAUCUCAGCUCACUGCAACCACUGUCUCCCGGGUUCAAUAGAUUCUCCCAACUCAGCCUCCCGAGUAGCUGGGAUUACAGGCACCUGCCAUCAUGCCUGGCUAAUUAGAGAAUAACUUUUUACAGGACUUAGCAUCAUAUUUUUAUUUGUAUAAAAUAAACAUAAAACUAGAGCUUAUUUCCUGUUAACCAUUUUGUGAGUCUUUUUGUACACUUCCAAAACACCAAUAGCCACUUUAUUAUUUUUCUUUUGCUUUUGUUAGCAUCUUUGGGCCACACAAAUAUUUAGAAGAUUUAUGUGGUAUCAAACUCAUAAUUUUGUGUAAACAAAGCUCACCCAUUUCUAUAUAGUUCAUAUUUCUAAGCCAAGGCAAAGACAAAAUAGGGAUCAUUUUUCUUUGACAAUUUUAUUUAGCAUAAAAGACUAUAUACAGGCAUUACACCUGUAAAAAACAAUUCCAUGUAAAUAAUAAACAUAAACCCCAUAAUUUGGUUUAUAUCUUUAUCCACCUAUCAAAUUCCAUGACCAUUCCCUUAAUUUACAUUUUUACCAGUUUGGUCAGGAUUCAUAGUUGGAGACAGUAGAAUCUUCUUUACCUGAUUGAUGCAAGAGGAAUUACUAAGUGAUAUGACUAGUUCACAGAAUUGUUAAGAGAGCUGAGAAAACAGACUAUGAUGACUUCAUUAACCACAACACAGAAUUAGGCCUCUCAAGGAGUUUCUACCUUUACCCUGCCUCUGCCCCUGUGGAUUUGUGGCUGAAUCAGUGGGCUGGUAUUAGUGCUGUUCCUAUGACGAUGGUUCUAGCUCCAGAAUUACAUCAUCUCUUCCACCCUUUUCCAACAAAAUGUAGCCCCACGUCUGCCUCUCUCCCUUGUAACUCAGUUCCAUAUCAGUUUUGUGUAAGUGCAGCUGUACACAGGAUGGACCCUAGUGCAUAUGCAAUGUCCUAGUUGCAGAGGAGUCUGGGAAACACAGGUUUGGGUGUUCUAGUCUCUACAGCACAAAAAGAUAUGAUAGAAGGGAGUUGAAAUGAGAGUUGAUCAAGCCCAAUCUAAUAGUAUAACUCAUAACUUUCUUAUAUUUCUACUGAGGCCAGAAUGGUCUUUAAAAUGAAACCAUAAUGUUGCUACUCCUGACAUAAAAUCCUUCAGGGAAUUCUAAAGUCAUUCAACAUGGGAACUCUUCAAUAUGCAUUAUAAAACUUUGAUGAUGCAACCCUUAUCCAGGUCUGUAGCCUCAUCUCCUUCCCUCAUAUAUGUAUUUACAAAGUCAGUAUGUGGUUUCAGACCUCCCAAUAUUUGCAUAUUCUGUUCUCUUUGCCUGGAACAUCUUUCUCUGUCUUCUUUCCCUAACUAAUUCCUACUAGUACUUCAAUUAGCUUUGCUAUUAUCACUUGUUCCCAAAGAUGCCCAAUCCCUGUAAUAUGAUGGGAUGUCUACCCAUCUAGCCUCAUAUAAUAUUCUACACAUAUUGAUUUGUAGCACUCAUUUCAUGGAACCGUCAUUAGCCUGAUUUAUUUUUCAG
Molecule: long non-coding RNA, 2492 nt
Filed under: Homo sapiens (human)
Lineage: Eukaryota; Metazoa; Chordata; Mammalia; Primates; Hominidae
Description: HSALNT0077058
Source: RNAcentral